Long non-coding RNA from Cheilinus undulatus (humphead wrasse), 287 nucleotides. RefSeq lists it as uncharacterized. The transcript has 3 exons. Lineage: Eukaryota; Metazoa; Chordata; Actinopteri; Labriformes; Labridae. The record is from RefSeq and is a predicted model, not a curated record.
ACAAUUUGGAGUAGCCAUGUGCAGACAAGGCCGUCCAUAAAGGGGGAGAAAUGGGAAACUAUCUGGCGCACAGCCAAACUGGGCGCCCAUGGAGUUUAUUAAGCUGACGUGCCGGAUGGAUUCGGCAGUGAAAAACAAGGAAACGGGCGUAUCCAUCUGCUUUGCAAGGCUACCAAAUGCAUCAGACCUGGGAUCUUUAGAGAAAGACUAUUAAAAGAUGAGCAAUGAUUAAAAAUCAGAGAAACAUAUUUUUAUGAAGGCGGAUCAUUGUAUUUAACUACUAAAGA